Long non-coding RNA from Varroa destructor (honeybee mite), 279 nucleotides. RefSeq lists it as uncharacterized. The record is from RefSeq and is a predicted model, not a curated record. NCBI's taxonomy places the organism in Eukaryota, Metazoa, Arthropoda, Arachnida, Mesostigmata, Varroidae.
UCAGUUUACCUAAUGCCACUGGGCACGGUGCCCUCAUCUUGCGGCUGCCAUUUUUAACGUCUUGCGUUUUUACCAUACUGCACCUUUGCUUCAGCUCAAGAGCAAUUUGUUUGGCGGGCAAACGUCACACUUAUCGAAGACCGCGUUCCUCUCUUCGUACCGUACCGCGCCCCCGAUUCGCGUAUAGCCUGAAAGCACAUCUUCAUCAUGUUAAGACUGUAUUGUCGUUUUUUUGUAGAGCGGAUUGCCGUGAAGCCAGAGAUGAAUUUAUUUCUUCUA